AUGCAACGCGAAGAACCUUAUCCAGGGGUUUUGACAUCCUCUGACUACCCAUGGAAACAUGGAUUUUCCUGUUAAGGGGACAGAGUGACAGGUGCUGCAUGGCUGUCGUCAGCUCGUGUCGUGAGAUGUCGGGUUAAGUCCCGCAACGAGCGCAACCCUUGUUCUUAGUUACCAGCGGGUAAUGCCGGGGACUCUAAGGAGACUACCUGCGAUGAGCGGGAGGAAGGUGGGGAUGACGUCAAGUCCGCAUGGCCCUUAUGCCCUGGGCUGCACACGUGCUACAAUGGUCGGUACAACGGGCAGCGAAAUCGCGAGAUGGAGCAAAUCCCUAAAAGCCGGCCCCAGUUCGGAUUGGAGUCUGCAACUCGACUCCAUGAAUGCAGGAAUCGCUAGUAAUCGCGGAUCAGAAUGCCGCGGUGAAUACGUUCCCGGGCCUUGUACACACUGCCCGUCAAGCCAUGAAAGCCGGUA
Molecule: ribosomal RNA, 471 nt
Filed under: uncultured delta proteobacterium
Lineage: Bacteria; Deltaproteobacteria
Also listed under: 1 other name
Description: bacterial SSU rRNA
Rfam family: Bacterial small subunit ribosomal RNA
Source: RNAcentral